Molecule: ribosomal RNA, 439 nt
Filed under: uncultured bacterium
Lineage: Bacteria
Description: partial 16S ribosomal RNA
Rfam family: Bacterial small subunit ribosomal RNA
Source: RNAcentral
AGGGAAUCUUCCACAAUGGACGCAAGUCUGAUGGAGCAACGCCGCGUGAGUGAAGAAGGCUUUCGGGUCGUAAAACUCUGUUAUUGAAGAAGAACGUGUGUGACAGUAACUGGUCAUGCAGUGACGGUAUUCAAUCAGAAAGUCACGGCUAACUACGUGCCAGCAGCCGCGGUAAUACGUAGGUGGCAAGCGUUGUCCGGAUUUAUUGGGCGUAAAGCGAGUGCAGGCGGUCUUUUAAGUCUGAUGUGAAAGCCUUCGGCUUAACCGAAGAAGGGCAUCGGAAACUGGGAGACUUGAGUGCAGAAGAGGAGAGUGGAACUCCAUGUGUAGCGGUGAAAUGCGUAGGUAUAUGGAAGAACACCAGUGGCGAAGGCGGCUCUCUGGUCUGUAACUGACGCUGAGGCUCGAAAGCGUGGGUAGCAAACAGGAUUAGAUACCC